UGUCCCUGCCUGUGCCAGCUCCUGUGUGGGCAGCUCUCGGGGUGUCCUGCCUUGCCACACUCCACUGAGCUGUUUGCAUUGCUGGGUGUGUUGUAGAGCCAUCUUGCUUGUAAAAUAUGAGUAUUUCUGGCUUAGGUGACGUUAGAGAAACUGUGAAAGCAGUGACUGCCUUGUGGUCCUGUGAGCCUUCAAGUUUUGGUUACAGCUUAUGAGUUCCCUCAGCUGACAGAUCAAGCUGCAUAUGGCACGCUUUCUGUGCAAGAGUCUCCUGCCUGUUCACAAUGUCCUGAAAAUAUCUUCUGCUGCCUUACCCUCGCCAACAUCAUUUUGCCACAGAUGAAUUGCAUAUUCUUUCCUUGACAGUGGUCUUGGAGGAGUCUGCCCCGGAGAAGAGGUCGGGAUGGGACAAGAGGAGUUAACUGUGGGGCAGGGCAUAGGAUACUCUCUGAAGCCAAGGUUUUGAUCAUUUGCCCCAUCACAGCUCCUGUCUCUCCCCUGAUGGCUCUGCUGUAUAUUGUUAUGUUUCCAUUUACCUGUAAGCUCACAAACCAGCCUUUCACCGGGAAAUGUGAAGAGAUGGAUUCUUCUGGUGUCUCCUCUGGCUUCUGCAAAGCCCCUGUGUCUAAUGCUGUUGUGAGAGCAGUGGGAUCAUAUGAAUUUUAUUCAGAAUUUUGGUAACAGGGAGGAUGGGGCCAUUUAAAUUUUAAGUGUUGGCUCCCUGCCUCAUGGGCCUAAGAACUAAUUACAGUGGGACUAAUUUUGGUUUAAACAGAUGCUCUUACAAAGUUGAGGGGUUUUGCUAUAUAUUUGAUAAGGGGAAAAAAUUCAAAUUUGAGUAAUUAGAUUAAAUAAACUCAAAGCAUAAUUAAUUCAAAGCACAAAUCUGAAGUUGAAACAAGUUCCUUUCCUCCCCAUCCCAACAAAGGAGAAUAUCUCGAUUUUUAGACUGGAAGGUCACUGGUGAGUGACAAAGGAGACUUUUGUUCUGCCCUUGGCCACACUUCUUGCUUGCAGGCUGCCCCUCCUCUGUCACCCUGCUUAAAAAGGGAGUGCAAUGAUACCGACCUACUUGGCAACGUGAUCUAUCUGUGAAAGAGCCAGGGCUGAGCUGGCUUUGCAAACUUCGAGCCUUUCACGUUGGUACCCUCCCUCGGCUCGGAAAACGCUACGUGCUAAAUUUGGGCAGCUUUUCGAGUUUGUGAUUCAUUCCCAGGGAAUUCCAGACUUCUUCAAGCUCUUCCCUUAUUUGUCGGUGUUUGCCGGCCGGUUUACUAAACAGGCUGCUCUGGGGCUGUUUGCCGCCCUUGACCCCACUUAUCUCUGAGUGGGGCUGAGUCACACCACGGAACCCGGCACGGCGAGGAGAUGGCGAGAGCCAGCGCGGCCCUGAGCGCGGCCCUGAGCGCGGCCCUGAGCGCGGCCCUGAGCGCGGCCCUGAGCGCGGCCCUGAGCGCGGCCCUGAGCGCGGCCCUGAGCGCGGCCCUGAGCGCGGCCCUGAGCGCGGCCCUGAGCGCGGCCCUGAGCGCGGCCCUGAGCGCGGCCCGCAGCUCGCCGUGCCCUCCCUGGGCUCUGCCGCCGUGGGACUCAGGCUGGCCGGGCAGACUCCAAACACUGCCCAGCCGUGGGACCUGUGGCUCGAUAAGAGCGGGACAAGGAGGAGCUGCUAUCUGCUGUGCACGCACGGCGCUCCCAGCGCAGACAGGGUACCCGGCACGUAAACCCGUGAGCUGAGCACCACACGCAGAAGGCAACCGUGAUAAAAAUACACUGAGAGCGUUCUGUUUAUGGUUCCUUCCAUGAUAAAAUCUGUGAACUUGUGGCAGCUCUUUCCUUAGUAAUUUGCCUUUCUCCUAUAGCUCCUAUUUUAAUAAUAUUUCUAAUCUACAAUCUGAAAAAAACCCACAGAAUUUUCAGAAUUUGCCUCGUUAUUUUAAAGCCUCCUGCAGGGAACAGAAGUGCAGUUGUAACCUGCUCAUGCUUUCUCAUAAACUGAUUUCAAACCUUGCACGUGAACACACUGUGAUUUCUACUGGUACCCAGAGUGACAUCUUCCAUGAAACUCCACAGCUGUCCCUUAAUGGGAGAUUAGUGCUUUAACAAGAUGUCUUUUUAUUAUUGUUGUUUGCUCACUAAUGAA
Long non-coding RNA from Prinia subflava (tawny-flanked prinia), 2137 nucleotides. RefSeq lists it as uncharacterized. Lineage: Eukaryota; Metazoa; Chordata; Aves; Passeriformes; Cisticolidae. The record is from RefSeq and is a predicted model, not a curated record. The transcript has 4 exons.